RNAcentral lists this long non-coding RNA (306 nucleotides) under Hordeum vulgare. RNAcentral describes it as "long non-coding RNA (HVUL_LNC015713)". Lineage: Eukaryota; Viridiplantae; Streptophyta; Magnoliopsida; Poales; Poaceae. The record is from RNAcentral.
CAGCCUUCCAAUCCUUUGGAAUUGACACAGUUUGAAGGGAGGCAACAAACGCCUUAUAUGUGGGUGACAAAGCCUUAUAAGACACAAAAUUGCCAAUAUCAAGAUCAUCACAAGCAUCAUCCUUCGGUAGAGCCUUUCUUGCUACUUCACCCUUUCUUGCUGCUUCACGUGUAGCCUUUCGCAAUGCAAUGGGCAACUCCACUGUGUCAGAUGAGCUCGUCUCACUAUCUUGCUGCUCCCCCUGCACUCUUGCCUCAUUUCCUUGUUGCUCCCCCUGCACUCUUGCCUCAUUUCCUUGUUGCUCCC